Molecule: long non-coding RNA, 1724 nt
Filed under: Aquilegia coerulea
Lineage: Eukaryota; Viridiplantae; Streptophyta; Magnoliopsida; Ranunculales; Ranunculaceae
Description: long non-coding RNA (ACOE_LNC000227)
Source: RNAcentral
AAUGAUGGGUGUGUUUGGUUCGAUGGAAAAGGACGGAAAAGAAAACGUUUUCAGGGAAAGUUGAAAUUCCGUUGUUUGGUUCAAAAAGAGAACAUAAGAAAAUGGAAAGCAGAUUCCCCGCGAUAUAUCAGCUAGUCUAAAAUUUCGGAAAAUGGAUAUCUUUUUUGUUUUACGGAAACCGCUUUCCUUUUUCAUCUUCCGUCUCGAACUCCCGAUCUAUUUCUCUCCAUCUUCCCCAUACCAAAACCGCUUCUUCUUCUUCCUUCUCCUUCUCUAUCUAAAUUGUGUUUUCUUCUUUCCUUUCUUCUUCUCUCGCUCGGUGACCUGGUUUUAGAGAUCUGGAACUCUCCUUUCUUCCUCAUUCAAUCAAAACAAGGUAAUCAAAGUUUUCUUAAACAAGACCAGAUUUAUUUUCUAAACAUUGUUAGAUGUAAAAUUUCAUAGUUGUUUCUUCAAAAUAGGUGUUAAAUUUGGGUUUUUGUUUUCUGGGAUUUUGCGAGAAGUGUUUGUUAUCAAUAAAACUGUGAUUUUUAUAUAUCUUCAUAUCAAAGUUCAGGUUGAAAGCAAAAAAUUAAGGUUGCUGAGACUGUUUUUUGUGUUUUCUGCAUUGGGUUGUCCUUAUUUUGUCAAAAAUAUAUUUUUCAAAUAUUUACAUUUUGAAAAUGCAUUCAAGUAAUUUUCUGCCAUAAUCAAAUAGACAUUAAUGUUAUAGUGGUGAUUAUGCUUUUAUUUUGUUUCUUGGUAUGUCAUCAACAUACUUCAAAACCAACCAGCUGCGAUAUGUGAUCAGUAGUGAUAUUUACAAUGAAUCUAAGCACCUGGCUUGAUCCCUAAGCCUGCACCCUGCUCUUUCCCUGCGAUUAACCAACUAUAAAUCCUUAGCCGUCCUUAGAAUAUUUUCGAUAAAGACACUCAAAUUAUCUUGAUUAUUUGGGACACUGGAAUUCAUCAACAAUUAACUUCAGAAAUAAAGACCAACACGUUUCAUGACUCGUAAGAUAGUGUAAAAAAUUAUAUUGAAACAUACCAGGUUAACGAGUGUGUUUUCAACAAAGGUCUAAUGGGUUUAUCUUUUACUAAUUGGAUCAUUUAGCAUUACACACAAGGGGUGAGCUGAUUGUUUUGUUAUUUUAACCAAUCUGAGAUCGGGUAUCUACUUUUCAGAAUGGAUGUAUUGGUGGCAUAUUCAUGCUCUAACCACCUUAAUUAAUGAUCUGUACAGAUGAAGCCAAUUGUUGGGAAGAGAUACAUGCAAACGACUGUGAACCGUUCCGUCACCCAAGAUGUUUCAGUCAACAACACACACCAUUCCAUCUGUUUUGAGAUAAAGCCGAUCCUAUUUAGGUGGCCUUCGUGCACAUUCAGGACUAGAUGAUAAGGUUUUGGAAAAUGGUUUUGUACUGAAGACAAUGGUUUUCUAUCAACGUGUGCGUGUUUUGUUUCUAUUUCUUUUCUCCAUGUUCACUAUCAUGCCAAAAAAUGUAAAGGACGUUACAUAUCAAGUUUUGGAAGCUCUCAUGUACUCCAAAUUUUCGAGAUAGAAAGAGUUGGUAUCAGAGGUGCUUGUGUUGAAAUUCCGCACACUAUUGUGAGUGUUGUUGUACCUAGGUUUAUUAAGCAUUGAAGUUGCUUGUGACAGUGUAGAAGUUUAUCAAGGGCCAACAUAUAUGUUUAUAGUGAUCUAGAUUAUCAAGGAACAUCAUAUAUCUUUAUAGUUGUCUAAA